Long non-coding RNA from Pygocentrus nattereri (red-bellied piranha), 251 nucleotides. The record is from Ensembl. Lineage: Eukaryota; Metazoa; Chordata; Actinopteri; Characiformes; Serrasalmidae.
CACCGAUUCUCCUUAUGAACGUUUAAAACAAAAUUUACACUCUGUACUGCUGCAAGUUUCAUCACCUGGUACUGUGAAGUCGCAAGAAGAGAGUUUGAGCCUGAUCCAAAUGCCUGUGGUCCUCCACGCACUCCAGAGACGUAUGACGCAGCUGUUGCUGAACUUCAGGCUAAAAACAUCCCAGACGUCAGAGGAAUAAAGGUAAACUCUGUCUUUAAUACCCUUAAGUCCUACCAUGUAUCACAGCCUGG